GAUGAAGAACGUAGCGAAAUGCGAUACUUGGUGUGAAUUGCAGAAUCCCGUGAACCAUCGAGUCUUUGAACGCAAGUUGCGCCCGAAGCCAUUAGGCCGAGGGCACGCCUGCCUGGGUGUCACACGUCGUUGCCCCCCCAUCUACUCCUUCGGGAUUGCGGGGGGCGGAUGAUGGUCUCCCGUGCGCCUCGUCGCGCGGUUGGCAUAAAUGCCAAGUCCUCGGCGACGCACGCCACGACAAUCGGUGGUUGCGAAACCUCGGUUGCCCGUCGUGUGCGGUCGUCGCGCAUCGAGGGCUCGAAAAAAUUGCCGGGCUCCGGCUCGGCUUUCAACGCGACCCCAGGUCAGGCGGGGUUACCCGCUGAAUUUAAGCAUAUCAAUAAGCGGAGGA
Molecule: unclassified non-coding RNA, 391 nt
Filed under: soil metagenome
Description: partial contains 5.8S ribosomal RNA, internal transcribed spacer 2, and large subunit ribosomal RNA
Rfam family: 5.8S ribosomal RNA (bases 1-122)
Source: RNAcentral